UACAGAGGUCCCGAGCGUUGUUCGGAUUCACUGGGCGUAAAGGGUGCGUAGGUGGCGAGGUAAGUCGGAUGUGAAAGCUCGGAGCUCAACUCCGGAAUGGCAUUGGAAACUACCUUGCUCGAGGGUUGGAGGGGGGACUGGAAUGCUUGGUGUAGCAGUGAAAUGCGUAGAUAUCAAGCGGAACACCAGUGGCGAAGGCGAGUCCCUGGACAACUCCUGACACUGAGGCACGAAAGCUAGGGGAGCAAACAGG
RNAcentral lists this ribosomal RNA (253 nucleotides) under uncultured bacterium. RNAcentral describes it as "partial 16S ribosomal RNA". It matches the Rfam family "Bacterial small subunit ribosomal RNA", at positions 524 to 776 of the family's 1533-position model. The record is from RNAcentral.